UACGCAGGGGGCUAGCGUUGUUCGGAAUUACUGGGCGUAAAGGGCGCGUAGGCGGUACUUCAAGUCAGGCGUGAAAGCCCCGGGCUCAACCUGGGAACCGCGCUUGAGACUGGAGAACUAGAGUUCGGGAGAGGAUGGUGGAAUUCCCAGUGUAGAGGUGAAAUUCGUAGAUAUUGGGAAGAACACCGAUGGCGAAGGCAGCCAUCUGGACCGACACUGACGCUGAGGUGCGAAAGCGUGGGGAGCAAACAGG
Molecule: ribosomal RNA, 253 nt
Filed under: uncultured bacterium
Lineage: Bacteria
Description: partial 16S ribosomal RNA
Rfam family: Bacterial small subunit ribosomal RNA
Source: RNAcentral